GCUGUUUGCGAUACACAGCAAGCGGCUGAGCGAAAGCAUUAAGUGAACCACCUGGGGAGUACGCCCGCAAGGGUGAAACUCAAAGGAAUUGACGGGGGCCCGCACAAGCGGUGGAACAUGUGGUUUAAUUCGAUGAUACGCGAGGAACCUUACCUGGGCUUAAAUGCAUUUUGUAUGGAGUAGAAAUAUUCCUUCCCUUCGGGGCUAUUUGCAAGGUGCUGCAUGGUUGUCGUCAGCUCGUGCCGUGAGGUGUCGGGUUAAGUCCCAUAACGAGCGCAACCCUUACCGUUAGUUGCCAUCGGGUCAAGCCGGGGACUCUAGCGGGACUGCCACCGUAAGGUGAGAGGAAGGUGGGGAUGACGUCAAAUCAGCACGGCCCUUAUGCCCAGGGCUACACACGUGUUACAAUGGCCGGUACAAAGGGCAGCUACUGCGCGAGCAGGUGCGAAUCUUCAAAGCCGGUCCCAGUUCGGAUCGGAGUCUGCAACCCGACUCCGUGAAGUUGGAAUCGCUAGUAAUCGGAUAUCAGCAACGAUCCGGUGAAUACGUUCCCGGGCCUUGUACACACCGCCCGUCAAACCAUGGAAGCUGGGGGUACCUGAAGUCUGUAACCGCAAGGAGCGGCCUAGGGUAAAUCUGGUAACUAGGGUUAAGUCGUAACAAGGUAGCCG
Molecule: ribosomal RNA, 671 nt
Filed under: uncultured bacterium
Lineage: Bacteria
Description: bacterial SSU rRNA
Rfam family: Bacterial small subunit ribosomal RNA
Source: RNAcentral